RNAcentral lists this ribosomal RNA (497 nucleotides) under uncultured bacterium. RNAcentral's name for it is "partial 16S ribosomal RNA". It matches the Rfam family "Bacterial small subunit ribosomal RNA", at positions 28 to 507 of the family's 1533-position model. The record is from RNAcentral.
GAUGAACGCUGGCGGCGUGCCUAAUACAUGCAAGUCGAGCGAACAGACGAGGAGCUUGCUCCUCUGACGUUAGCGGCGGACGGGUGAGUAACACGUGGAUAACCUACCUAUAAGACUGGGAUAACUUCGGGAAACCGGAGCUAAUACCGGAGAAUAUAUUGAACCGCAUGGUUCAAUAGUGAGAGACGGUUUUGCUGUCACUUAUAGAUGGAUCCGCGCCGCAUUAGCUAGUUGGUAAGGUAACGGCUUACCAAGGCGACGAUGCGUAGCCGACCUGAGAGGGUGAUCGGCCACACUGGAACUGAGACACGGUCCAGACUCCUACGGGAGGCAGCAGUAGGGAAUCUUCCGCAAUGGGCGAAAGCCUGACGGAGCAACGCCGCGUGAGUGAUGAAGGUCUUCGGAUCGUAAAACUCUGUUAUUAGGGAAGAACAAAUGUGUAAGUAACUAUGCACGUCUUGACGGUACCUAAUCAGAAAGCCACGGCUAACUACGUG